Paramuricea clavata is the source of this 203-nucleotide non-coding RNA. The record is from the annotation of a GenBank genome assembly. NCBI's taxonomy places the organism in Eukaryota, Metazoa, Cnidaria, Anthozoa, Malacalcyonacea, Plexauridae.
GUAAUAUGUGAUGAUCUGGCUGUUCCUGUUUGAAUGAUAUCUUGAUAUCGGCGUAUAACUAUAUUUCUGAACUCACAAAUACUGGAUAUUUUGGACUAUCUUGUGGUUUAUGUAGUGGUUAUGAACUCUUGAAAAACAGGAAGCGGUAUUUAUAAUACUUGACAGAAAUAUUUAGCGUUUGAAAUGUAUUCUCAAAGGUAUGU